Bombus impatiens (common eastern bumble bee) is the source of this 2001-nucleotide long non-coding RNA. RefSeq lists it as uncharacterized. The record is from RefSeq and is a predicted model, not a curated record. NCBI's taxonomy places the organism in Eukaryota, Metazoa, Arthropoda, Insecta, Hymenoptera, Apidae. The transcript is spliced from 2 exons.
AGAAAUGAAGGACUACAGGUCUUGUGACGAUCUAAUGUUGCAGAAUGAAAAAGUAUAUUUUUCCGUGAAACUGACAUAAUUUGAUGUGAUACAUGUAAUCUGAUACAUGUCAGAUGUUAGAGAUUAUACAAGGUUAUAAAUUAUUCGGAAAAGCUUUAAUAGUGGGCGUAGCUGGCCCGUUUAUCAUCGGAUAACAGUUCCAGAGUAUAUCCUUUGAAUGUAACUCUACUCUUGGGCAAACAAGACUAAGGGUUAUGACCAUUCUCGUUUGUCUUUGCAUCCAGAGAAUCUUCGCGCGAAAUCCCUAGCCAGGACCCAAUUAACUCUCUAAGAAUUCGAUCCUAUCCCAUGGUCACGUCCAAAAUGGCCAACAUCUCAUGCGAACUGCAACGCUUCUAAGAAUCCUUCGUCUCUGACCACAGAAACCUGUAUCCGCAUCGACGACGGUUUGAAUUGAAGAUUUUUGCGGACGGUAACUCGUUGGCUCACGCGCUAACGUAUUUGCAAGAUCCGCUGCGCUGAUGGACAUAUAAUGCGACGUGUGAUUGUAGGCCCGCCAAUCGCGGCCGAUUGUGCCUCUGAAGGCCCGCUAACUAUCUCAAACUAGCCCCAUUCAAACCGCCACGACCUCUCUCUAGCCGUCUCUAUCUACCAGCCCAGCCUCUGUGUCUCGCUCGUUCCAACCCUCAUUCACCGCCACCCUCCCCCUGGUACCCGUGCGUCUCGUUCAUCACCAAACUUCGCCUCUCUGUUGCUCUCAACUCGCGUCUCGUUUGCACCGACUUCACAGGACGAUUUUCCCUCCUACUCGGUGAAAACUCAGUUCCUCAUUCGCCGUUCGAAUUCGACGUACGUUUCUUGCCGCACGUUUCUUCUGCACGCCCUGUAUCCCUCUCUAAUUUUCGACCGGCUCUCUCGCCACACACGUAAUCUUCUAUUUCAUUCGCUUUACCUUUCCUAAUGCGAUAGCUCGCUCCAUACACAUACAAUCGUAGCCUCAUCUCUUUUCAAUCUCACCUCGCGGAUCGAAUGUUUUGCCUUCCAUUUAACAUCCUUUAUCUCGCUCCCUCUAUUCAACUGUCUCAAAAAAAGUUUUUCUCUUCGAGGUUCCGGUGAUUCCAUUCGCCCCGCUAUCUGGUCUUCCGUCCAUCUAAUGUUUCCACUUUCUUUUCAUCCGUUAAAUCGUGCAUCUCGUUUAACUCGACUUCCGUCGUUUUCUAUUUCGCAAAUUCAUACAUUCUCGCCUCUAGCCAUUCCUUUUAAGAAUGUAAGCCCUACAUGCACUUUCUUCCCUGCUCCACUGCAGCACUGCUUCAUUUUCCCCCUUCUUGCUUCUUAAAUCUAUGUUCUCUCUCACUUUCGUCCAUCUUUCACUCUCUCUCUCUCUCUCUCUCUCUUUACCCUUUCGAACCGCAACCAACUACCUCUCCUCUUUCAACCUAUUCCCCCGACGUACCUUAUCUCCAUUCUCGGUCUCUGUUCGACCUGCUUCAUUCAUCGACACAAUCACGCAUGGUUACGUAGGUACAUUCCGCUAGGCGUCACCGAGUAUUCGUCCCGAUUCGAAUUCUCGACCCUAUAUAACCGUGGCACGUUCUACGUGGGAAUUUCAAAUCUAUCAGCGACCCAGACGAAUGCAAAUCGCGCAUGAAGCGCGCUUAAUAAAGCCUCGCACGCGGCCCGCAACUCGCAAUUUUCUUUUCGACGCUACGUGUCGCACGCUCCUCUUAAUGAAACCUUCGCAUGCACCGUGCGCAAUUCGCGGCUACGCUCCUAUUCUACACGCAUCUCCGUCCCGCGAUACCGUUAGAAAAAGAACGCACUCGGGAUCGUUAAGCUUCGGCCCAGGGGAGAGAACGAGGACCAUUUCAACUCCCUUGUAGAAAGAGAUCCGUUCAUAAGAAUACAAGUUUCAUAGAAUAAAACUUUUCUAGUAAAUCACGGAAAUUCUAUUAUCUAAUAAACUUUAUGGAUAUCGCAUAAAUAAAACGAAAGACUUAA